Molecule: ribosomal RNA, 499 nt
Filed under: uncultured bacterium
Lineage: Bacteria
Description: bacterial SSU rRNA
Rfam family: Bacterial small subunit ribosomal RNA
Source: RNAcentral
GAUCAUGGCUCAGGUUGAACGCUGGCGGCAUGCCUUACACAUGCAAGUCGAACGGCAGCACGGGAGCUUGCUCCUGGUGGCGAGUGGCGAACGGGUGAGUAAUACAUCGGAACGUACCCUGAAGUGGGGGAUAACGUAGCGAAAGUUACGCUAAUACCGCAUAUUCUGUGAGCAGGAAAGAGGGGGAUCGCAAGACCUCUUGCUUUAGGAGCGGCCGAUGUCGGAUUAGCUAGUUGGUGAGGUAAAGGCUCACCAAGGCGACGAUCCGUAGCGGGUCUGAGAGGAUGAUCCGCCACACUGGGACUGAGACACGGCCCAGACUCCUACGGGAGGCAGCAGUGGGGAAUUUUGGACAAUGGGCGCAAGCCUGAUCCAGCCAUGCCGCGUGAGUGAAGAAGGCCUUCGGGUUGUAAAGCUCUUUCGGUGGGGAAGAAAUUGCACAGGAUAAUACCUUGUGUAGAUGACGGUACCCGCAUAAGAAGCACCGGCUAACUACGUG